AAAAAGAUUGUGGCACCAGGUGUAGAGAGCACCAAAAGAUCUUUCAUCGGGGCCCACAGUCCAGCUCAGUGGCCUGACUGUAACAGGGUGGUGGAGGCCGUCUUCCUGAGACUCUGUGCCCUCUACCCAAAUGCUGUGCACUGUGAUGGUAAAAAGGUGUCCCGGUUCACAAUGAUGGCUCGUUUAUACAAACACAUCCGGGAGUGUGUGAUAACAAACAGUAGAGUGAUGAGUGAGACCACCAUCCAGCUCCCCGAAGUAAACGCUGCCACACUCACACAAUGGUACAGCAGGCGCAGCAGGGGACAGGAACAAAAAAUUCUGCACCGGGGCGUCCCAGCUCCAGAUCCACCCAUGGCUGCCCCAGAAAAACUAUGUCCAGCGGUACAGAAAGACCCCUCCCUGUUUUCAGCCAGUUUACUUCCGCUUCAUCAAUUCAUCUUGCCACUAAAUACUGCUGGGGAAGCACAUCUGAAAGGGAGGCCACAACCCCAAGCCAUCUUCCCAACUCCACAGCCCCAUCCACAGCUGCACUUCCUGUCACAGCUGCCACCUGGCUACGUUGUCCCGUCAGGGGCUGCAUCCUCACAGGUGACGGCUGCACCUGGAUGCUCACAAUACAUACUUUCAUAUACACCAUUAUCAUCACCAUCCACCCAGACACAAGCACACAAUGAAAGCGGACGUAGGAAACGGGUAGAAGAGCACACAGUCCAAGGAAAAAGAAAAU
Molecule: long non-coding RNA, 730 nt
Organism: Cololabis saira (Pacific saury)
Lineage: Eukaryota; Metazoa; Chordata; Actinopteri; Beloniformes; Belonidae
Exons: 3
Source: RefSeq, a predicted model, not a curated record